UGGGGAAUUUUGGACAAUGGGCGAAAGCCUGAUCCAGCAAUGCCGCGUGUGUGAAGAAGGCCUUCGGGUUGUAAAGCACUUUUGUCCGGAAAGAAAUCCUUGGCUCUAAUACAGUCGGGGGAUGACGGUACCGGAAGAAUAAGCACCGGCUAACUACGUGCCAGCAGCCGCGGUAAUACGUAGGGUGCAAGCGUUAAUCGGAAUUACUGGGCGUAAAGCGUGCGCAGGCGGUUUGCUAAGACCGAUGUGAAAUCCCCGGGCUCAACCUGGGAACUGCAUUGGUGACUGGCAGGCUAGAGUAUGGCAGAGGGGGGUAGAAUUCCACGUGUAGCAGUGAAAUGCGUAGAGAUGUGGAGGAGUACCGAUGGCGAAGGCAGCCCCCUGGGCCAAUACUGACGCUCAUGCACGAAAGCGUGGGGAGCAAACAGGAUUAGAUACCCUGGUAGUCCACGCCCUAAACGAUGUCAACUAGUUGUUGGGGAUUCAUUUCCUAGUAACGUAGCUAACGCGUGAAGUUGACCGCCUGGGGAGUACGGUCGCAAGAUUAAAACUUAAAUAAAUUGAC
This 565-nucleotide ribosomal RNA is filed under the name uncultured bacterium. RNAcentral's name for it is "partial 16S ribosomal RNA". It matches the Rfam family "Bacterial small subunit ribosomal RNA", at positions 355 to 914 of the family's 1533-position model. The record is from RNAcentral.